Monodelphis domestica (gray short-tailed opossum) is the source of this 9906-nucleotide long non-coding RNA. RefSeq lists it as uncharacterized. The record is from RefSeq and is a predicted model, not a curated record. Lineage: Eukaryota; Metazoa; Chordata; Mammalia; Didelphimorphia; Didelphidae.
AGACUGCUUUGUAAUCUCAAGCAAUUCUGAGGUGGGCCGAGAUUGAGGAAGGAUUUAAGCUGAUGGCAAAGUCUUUUGGUUCUUCUCUCUUUUUGGACUUCCAUUUUGGAGCAGAUGUGGCUCUUUCCAUAAUGUAGGUAAGGUCUUGUCUAGGCCUCUGGCCUAGGCAUGUUUUCCUUAUCCUGUAUUUUCUUUAAUCCUUAAUUCUUAAUAAACCUCUAAAAAAUAUAAUACUCCUUGCAGAGAGAAACUAAUUUCUACCUGCCUCAGUCUCCCCUAAAUUUUAAUCUUUACAGUUUGGCAUAACCACUUCGGGAGAAAAAACUCUCAAUCUUCUGAUUUCUUUUGUGAUCUUUAGUUAAUCUUUAAUAGCUAGUACCUAGAAAAAAAAAUUUUUUUUGAGCCACAUCUCUCUGGCCAAGGUUUUUUUACCCUCGCAAAGCUGCUACAGGCUCCGGACCUGUUGCAUUUGCUGCCCACCCCACCCAGCUCAGCCCCAUUGCUUCCUGCCUGCAGCCUACAGCCCCAAUUGUCCUCACCUGGUACCUGGUCCCGGCCUUGCCCACCCUGGCAGCCGCUCCAGCUCCUGCUCCUAGCCUCUCACUGGCCCUGCCUGCCUGUGUUCCUGCCUGCAGCCAUCUGCUGGCUGCUGCCUGCCUGUUUCUGCGCCCCAGACCCACAAGCACAACCCCAGCUGGCUCAUCAUCCAGAUCCUUGGAGUAGAUCACUCAGGACUCAUUGAGGCCAGCUGGUAACAGUAUUGGCCACGUGGGCAGAGGGGAGAGACGAGAGGGAAAGGAGACCGGGCAAUUUUCCCUUAGGCUAAGCCUCCAUGUGGAUGGGGGUAUUGACCACAGGGGGUUCAUAGAAGGGGAGAGAGGAGAAGAAACAGAUUUUUCAAACAGAAACUUAAUAGCAAUGGGCUGUUUAAAAGGAUACCUUUUGACUCUUCUGGUAAUUUCAUUGACUUCACCUGCCUGUCAGGGAGCAGACUCAGCCCAAAGAUUCAACUUCAACUUUAACUUUGAAGGGGCAAAUGCGUGGCCCAGCGAACUAGGAGCCAGGCCCAGAGAUGGGAGGUCUCUAGUUGAAAUCUGGCCUGAGACACUUCAUGGCCUUGUGGCAGAUCGCUCAGACCCCAUUGCCUAGCCCUUACCACUCUGCCUUCGGACAAUAGACAUUUAAAUGGAUAAGAACCCAAGGAACUUUGAAGAGACCAAAGGCUAUAUUCUAAGGCAUUUCAGACUCCAAUGGUUUAUACAAAUCUCUGUAUUUCUAUUGCAUUUUGAUAUUUGCUUGCUUUAAGGUUUAACUUUGUGAUUUUAAGUUCAUAUAUUACUGGAUUCAAUAUUAUUCUGCUUGAACUGAAGGUUGAUUGAAUUUAUUUUGAAUGUACUUAGUUUUUAAAAUUCUGUUUUUCCCCUAUAACUAUUGAACAAAUAUUAUUGUGAAUAAGCCCAUAUAUGAAAAAACAGCUUUUUUCUAUUUUGCUGAGGAUAGAUGGACUUCAGAACUGGUUAUAAUUGUAUUAACAACUUUGGAAAAUUUAAUGUGCUAAAUACCUCAAAUGAUUUUAAAGGUUUUUUUAAAUAUUAUUUUUGUAAUUUUUUUUAACAGUCUCUGGUUAUUUUUGCCUGCCCCUACCACGAGGUAAGGCCCAUUCUAGUAGCUGAAGUGAAAUACAUUUUAUAAACCCCAACCUUCCCACAUGUGAAUGGAAUUUGGGCAGUUAAUCUCAGGGCAUUUGUAUCCCUAUACGCCUCCAAAAAAGGAGCAUCUUUUAUUUAUACUCUUCAGCUCACUACUUUACAUGCACCAGAAUGAUAUAUAGAUUUCUUGAUUAUAUUCUUAACCCAAGAUGAGUUUUACUUUGUUUUAAAAAAUAUGUUUAAAUAUGUAAACCUCAAAAUUUCUCAGACUUAUGAAUGUUAGGGGUUUCCUCCAUUGGGGAAUCUUCUACUUAAAAAAUUCCCUAGCAGAUAGUGAGAAGUCUACUUCAAUGUGAGGGCUCCUUGCCUUGGGAAUAUCCCUUCUCCACCCUACUUAGGACUGUUUUAGGACAGAGAGCUCCUUGAGAACAAUGAAAAGUACUUUGAUCCAUGCUUAUGGAAGGGACAGGAAGUCCUUUGAGUCAUGACUGUUUUAGAAUUGAUACAAUGGGAUACUAAGUACCUAUAAAGGUGGGGCAACUUGUAAACUACUUAAACCUAAAAGGGUGAUAACUUAUUCAGAGGUUUUUUCUUAAUGAAAUUUGUCGACACAGCAGCAUUUUUUCUGACUUACUAAAGAGAUUAAUCUAUUCAGCUGUGAAUUCAAAAUGGGCUGUCUUUUAGAAAAACUUCUACUGUGAUUGGUAGAUGUAAGGACUUAGGGGAGGUGACAUAGGAGAUUUUGCCCUUAAAAAUAAGAGCUCAGGGAAGAGCUGAGGAGAGAUUCUGAAACAUUCAGAUUGGAGAGACUCAUUCUGAGGAGACUGAUUCUGAAACAUUCAGAUGGAGGAGGGAGCUGGUGAAAGCAGCUGAGAUGCUGCUGGCCUGGUGUCAUUAGAAAUCCUUACUUAGACAGAUCUUAUGGUGAGUUAUAAAAAACUGACUGAUUUCUCUUUUAAGACUCAGGUCUAGGCCAUAUUGGCUUGAGGCCCUUCAUACUUAUUCCUUUCUUACUCUCUCUCUCUUUCUUUGAUUACUCAUUGUAUUGUUAAUUAAAAUCUCUAUAAAACCCAAUUGACUUGGGUAUUUGAAUAAUUGGGAAUAUUUCCCUGGCGACCACCUUAUAUUUGAUUUUAAAACCCAAGACACUGUAGUGAAACAUAUUUCUGGGGUCAAAUUUACUCACCCUCUCUUAUAUCUAUCACAACUUAUAUCUUCCACUAUUUUAAUCACUACAGUUUAAGACCUCAACCAUUUUAAAUCUCACAAAUACCAAGGUUGAAAGAUUUGCUAUGAUUGUAAAAAGUUGUGACAAAUAUCCAUCAAUUCAUAGGCUUUUAAAUGUCAUACAACUUAUGUGAAAUAUGACAGUGUGUUUGCUUGGUAUUGUAAUUAAUUGGGCUAUUGAGAAUUUUGGGGAUUUUGAUACCUACAUAUUUGUACUACUGUAUUUUUAAAAAAGGAAAAAUUGUUAACCUUGUUCAAUUCAUUUGCCUCAUACAUAUAGUGGAGCAUGGCCAGAUAUUAAGAGGAAAUGGAUCUCAUUUUUGGUGAGAAAGCCUUGAAUUUUAUAUUUUCCUAACUGACACAGAGUGUCAAUGAUUAUAAGCUACAUUUUUUAAUUUUUAAAGCUCUUUUAUUAUUAUAUUUUCUUGCAUGUGCAAUAUACUAUUUCAGUGUUUUUUUUUUAAUUUUUCUCUCCUUUUUAUAUUUGAGGCACAUGUCACCAGCAUGAAGAUUUUCUUUAACUUUUUGAUUUUUCAGUACUACAAGUUUGAAAUACAUUUUUCAGAGCAUGCCCAAAAGGCCUGUGACUAUAAAAAUGAUGCCACUAAUUAUUUAAAAGUUAUAGGACUUUGCUUAUUCUGUCUGAUUCCAGGACCAGAUAUACACAACAGAGCCAUUGCACAGAGCCAAAGAAAUGCCAAUCCAGGAUGGAUUGAUGCACUUCCAGGCCAAUACAAAGGUCUUGAACCUAGUGUGAAGACUCGAAGUUACUAUGUUUAUCAUUGCUAGACAUAGGUUUUCCUUGUGUCAACACUCACUCUGAAAAUACUCACAGACAAGUAUCCCCAAAACCUUGGCUCCUAUAAUCUGGUCCCUUUUUUUUUCUGCCUCUCAUAGUGUGGUACCUUUCUGUAGUCCUGGCUAUUGACUGGGUAAAUGCAUCAUUGCUUAGAUCAUUUUAAUUGGGCCCUGAUUCAAGGACCUGUUAUAGAUUUAUUUUUCUUUUACUUGGAAUUUUUACACAUAAGACUUUGAUAGUCUUUUCAUCCAGAAAUUUUUCUUUUUUCUUUUUUUUGGAUUUUUCUGAUAUCUUUUAAUAUCUCUUGCCAAUUGAUUCAUAUACCUCAUACCUCAGCCAUGCAUCCCUAAGUGAUCCUGUUUUUUUAAUCACCCUCUUAAAGGGGGGAAUGUAAAAAAUAUCAUUAUUUAAAUUGCAAAGUUUAAAUUCCUUUUGAAAAGAAUUUUAGGUAAAGAAGAUGCUACCUCUCUGAACCCAGAAACUGAAUUGUUGGAGAAGACAUAAUGAAGAAGCCUCCAGACCACAAGCUGCACAAAAAUGAACUUUGGGUGUAGUUGAUUGAACAUUUAUUUAUAUGUAUACUUUCAUGCCAAAGGGGACUGCCCCCUAACUGGCUUUCUGUCAAUGUGUCCAGCAAUUAUUGGUCUUGUUCUUUUUUUCUCUUAUCCUCAAAUUAUUGUAAUCUUUAAAUUGAUUAUGUUUUUAUGAUCCUUUGGGGAAGGACUUCUUCCCAGAGGAUCAAACAGAGGAAUGUAAAAAAUAGACUCGAAUACAAGACUACAAUCCCCACAAUUCCUUGCUCCACUUUCCCAGAAUGCUUUGUAAUCUCAAGCAAUUCUGAGGUGGGCCGAGAUUGAGGAAGGAUUUAAGCUGAUGGCAAAGGCUUUUGGUUCUUCUCUCAUUUUGGACUUCCGUUUUGGAGCAGAUGUGGCUCUUUCCAUAAUGUAGGUGAGGUCUUGUCUAGGCCUCUGGCCUAGGCAUGUUUUCCUUAUCUUGUAUUUUCUUUAAUCCUUAAUCCUUAAUAAACCUCUAAAAAAAAUAUAAUACUCCUUGCAGAGAGAAACUAAUUUCUUCCUGCCACAGUUUCCCCAUAUUCCUAAAUUUUCAUUAUUACAGCAUUUAUGUAAAAAAGUGUGAAGCCAUGGGUCCCGUGAAACUAGGUGUCUAGGCUGCUAUUCUUCCUUCGGUGUAAUUACUAUUUCUAGUAUCUAGUUUGGUAAGUUUACAAGAAACUUUCUCUCCUGUCUUUUUUAGUUUAAAAUCCUUUAAUUAGUUUCACAAACCAAAAAACAAAUUUAUCCUUAAGAGUUUUUGUUGGUCAUAUUACCACUCAGGUAAGGAAUUAAACAUUGAUAUCUCAUUUUAUUUUAUUUUCUUAAGGCCUAAAAGAUUUACUUAUUCUCCUCUUUAUGUGAGUUUAGAACUUCUUUUACUAGCAACUUUAGUUGCUAUUUCACUCUUGUAGCUUGCCACCCACAUUCUGUAAGCUCCCCAGCAAGAGAGACAACUCCAGGUGCCAUACCUGUGUGCAUUUUCACAUAUCUAUAUAUGUAUUUAUAUAUUUAAAAAGGAUGACUAUUAGAAACAGUUAAUAUUGAUUACUCUAAUGAUUUAUUUAGUGUUUGUCCUGAGGCAGCUAAGGCUUAGUGGAUAGUGAGCCAGGCCUGGAAAAGAUAGAAAGGUCCUGGUUUCAAAUAUGACCUCAGAUACUGCCUAGCUAUAUGACCCUGGACAAGUCACUUAACUUCAAUUGCCCAGCCUUUAUUGCUCCUUUGAUUUUUUUUUAAACCCUUACCUUCCAUCUUUUCCAGGCCUGGCUCACUAUCCACUAAACCUUAGCUGCCUCAGGACAAACACUUACUAAAUAAAUCAUUAGAAUAAUCAACCACUGAACUACCCAGCUAUCCAGGUGCCCUCCCCCCCUUUUGAUUUUACGACAGUAGGAAAGGGAUAUUUAAAAAAAAAGUUUAAAAAAAGGUUAGUUCUAAUUGUAAGCCAGGUCUAACAGCUAAAUUAAACUAAUAAAAGCACUUCCUGAUGUUGUGGAAUGUUGAGGUGUACCCCUGGGGUUCAGGAAGGUUACCUUUUGCAAGAAUGCAAGACUCCAAAACUUAAAAGUAAAGAGAGAGAUUUAUUAGUAAUGUUGAAUUUUUGGCCAGUAAGACAGCAUGAGUGGAGCAACCUGAGAGGUUGCACCCCAAAUGCCUCCAUUCUGGAGUUUUAAUAUUCUACCCUAGAAAGGACAAGACUCUGGGGCAAGGGGUGGAGGGGAGGAGGUUAGCCCGAGGGCAUGGGUGGUUCUCUGAUUUGGAGGAUGUAAGAAUUGGGUGUGUCUCUUUGUCAGUCACAAUUCCUUGGGGCAGUCAAAGCAGGGUAGUCUUCAAGGUCAGGUGUUUUGGGUUGGGAGUCUGGAGGGCCUAAGGGAGCAGAGGAAUUUACCGGAUAAUAGUUUGCCUGAGUUUCCGGGUGUACAAAGCCCUGGACAAUUUAAGAUCCGGUUACUUAAGGAAUCACCAAAUGAUCCACCAUAAUGUUAAAAUAAGCUUUAGAAUAAAAAUGCAUUUUAGAAGUAGGGAUAGUUAUUAGAUUUAUUUAGAGAGCCUAAGUUUUCAUUCUCAUCUCUGAUAGGGAGAGAAGCCGCCCUUUAUUCAAAAGAAACCAAGCUUCUAAAGCAACAAAGUCCUGCCUUCCAAAAAGACUGUCAAAAGCUUUCUCCAGCAGCUUCUGAAGUGAGGGGCAUGAGGUCUAGUCCAAAAGUAUUAAAUUCAGUAGCUACCCCCCUUAGAUCCUCCCUAUUUUGCUCACUCCUCCUUAAGCCCAGCUUUUGCACCCUGCCAAUGUUUCUCCUUUCUUGUAGAACUAGUCUUAUUUUUGUCAAACUUCCCUGUACUUUUGAACUCUGUGGCAAAAACCCACAACUGUAUUUUUUUUUUCAUUUUUGUAUUAAAAAAUAAACGCCGGAGCCUACAAACUGGAAAGUCCUCUACCUUUGAAACCGGCUCUCUGGAGACUCUCUAGAGAGGGUGGGUCCAGGGGCUGACUCAUCUGGUAUGGAAAAGGAGGUAAAAGGCAUCCGCCAAUCAGGUGUGGAAAGCAGCUGUUUAAAAUUCGUAACUGCUGACUCUUCUGCCUUUCAGUUUUGUACUUGGUUACUGAGGACUCUAGGAUCCUUUUUAUUGGUUAAUUGCUAGACUUGCUAAUAAAUUGAUCAUUUUUGAAGUCUGAAACUGGGUCUCAGUUGAUCUUUUUCAAAGAUUUUUAUCCAACCAUUGGUACUGUGGGGCCCGAGUGAGGGACUCCUUCAGAUGAACUUCCUAGAGCUCUCCCUUAAAUUUUUCAUCCGGGAACUUCCUCCUAGAGGGAUGGAGAAGGACUCUGCCUGAGGCUUCCUAACCUUCUGAGCUAUGGGAGCCCAAAGACAGGGUCUUCUAUAGGUAGGAGACUAUUAGAGGGGUAAUAGGUAACUUAUCCAGAGUAUUGACCCUUGGAAUUUGCUCCUCCUGUAAACAGAAAGGCUGCCCUAAAAAAGGACUCGCUGACUUCAUGGAAACCCUCCUCUCUGCUAAGGAAAAGAGCCAUCCUAAAUAAAGGCUGCAGAAAAAAACGUGUCCCUCUGGGUCUUCCUAAUCGGUCCUUACAAGGCAUCCAGUGGAGCCCAGACCAGGCAGCUGAUGCGCCCGGCUAUCACUCGCCAGGGAUUCCUUAAACGCGGAAACGAUGAGAUGCCCUGUCUGCCCCGAAAAUCGGAACACAUUUCAAAAGACUUCACCAGAGGAAAAAGCCACCCGUGGGUCGUCCUUUGUUCAGCAGUCCCCACCGGAGAUCGAGUGCCCACGUUGGUCUAAAAAGGAUAUAGACGAACUGAGAAAAAACAUCGCGCAAUAUUUACACGAAGAGAGAAACAAAGGCGAGACAAAAACAACCCCCCCAACACGGGCGAUUCCGGUGCUCCCCCCUGUUCCGAGAGCUUCCAAAGUGCGGAAGUGUUCUUGCUGUCAUCAGAAGGGCCAUCUCGACGCGCAAUGUCGCUUUAAAAGGAAGCCUGGUUUACGGGUCCGAAGGAAAUGGAAUAAAGCUAAGAAGCGCGGAGAGCGUUUGAAGAAAUUCUGAUGAACUGCAAUAUGAGAUUGAGGACCCAAGUACUACAGUUAAGGAACUGCAACCUCUCCCAGGCACUGGAUGGAAGAAUCCACUUUUGUAUAUAAGUUCAUUGGAGAACAUGAAAAUUGUAAAACUGUACUUUUUUCCUAAAAAGGAAGUGUUACAUCUUGGUAACAAUCAAAACUGGAUUUAAGACUUAAUAGGAGCCAACAGUUUUCUUAAGGUUUUGAGUAUGCUGCUGGUUUAUUGGAUUUAUAAAAAUUCAAGAAUGUUGUAUUCCUAUUACUUGUCAGACUUGUCACACAUUCAACCAACUGGAACAUAUGCAUGUUGAGUUUAUAUGUAUCCCUCACACUGGUCACUGCCUUCAGUCCUCAUUGGGUUAAAGCUUUUACAGUUUUAUUGGAAAACUUUAGCCAUAUACUUCUUGAAUUCCAUCUGCAGAGCACUCCAAGGGGGAAGUCACUUACCUAAAUAUUAAAACCUAUCAUAUAUAAAAUUGCUUUAGGACGAUUUGUACAUGGCGAAUUUUUUGCUUCUACCAGCCAUAUAUUGACUGUGAAACUGUGAAAGAAUUUAAACUGUUUUUGUUUAUUUUAACUUAAUCAAUCAAGAACUUGGAAUCUUCUUCCUUUCACACUUCAUCAUUAACCCUUAGUCCUAAAAGACCAUGAGCACUGCCCCACCCAUGGGGAGUGCUAAGCAAAUUGGGAUACUAUGAUUGGUUCCUAAGAUGUAAUAGACCAGCCCACAGUGAAAGGAACUAGAAACCAGAGACACAGGAAAUGAGGUGGAAAAAACUGCUUAUAAAAGCCAGACAAGGGAAUUCUGAGUCGUAUUGCUGCAUUGGUGGCUCUUGCUGGAUUACUUCUGCAUUGGAGAUUGAUUCUGUGCUGGUAAGACUCUUUUCUGAAGAGGCUACUGUGACUACUGGUUGGAGAUUGGGGCCUAAGGAAGCCUUUGUUGGAAUUGAGCUGGAUUUAUAUCAAGAUUUAGGGAAUUUAGCUAGGCAAUAUCUUCUACCUCCUUCCUACAUUUCCCUCCCUUAUGAUCUCUACCUUGCUGUAAUAAAGCUACUAACAGCCUUUUGACUUAAGAGUUAAUUAUAAAUGGAAACCACAACAAUAUUUUUUAAAUUCUUAUAUUUGUCAAACCCAUUUUAAUUAUUACAAAAAUAUAUUUUGAUUACUUACCCUUGUACCACCCUAAUUGAUAUCAAAUUAAACCAUAGUCUUAGUUUAACUUUUCAAAUUAUGCUGUAAAUGUUUUAUUGGCCCAAAACCACAAUAAUUCUAUUUGGCCUUAAUGUAUAAUGGAUGAAGUUUUGCUAUUUGAGGUGGGAAUUUUUUAAAUAUACUUCUGAGCUUUUUAAUUUCAGGCAUGCUUACAAGAUUGCAAACCCAAUCCAUUUUAGACUGAGGACUGCCAUGUAUUUGCCCAUGGGAGAAAGUUGAGGGGAUGACUGUGCAAAGGUGAAGGUAGAUUCCCCUUGACUUGGUUUCCCAUUGAGCUACUUUGUAAACUGAAAAUUUUCCCAUUAGGAUUUUAAUCCUGGCUUUUUGUACCCUACGAAUAUGGAGCUUUGGUAUGAUUUGCUCUUAACUAUGACUGCCCUGGAAUCAAAAUAAAGCUAAGACAGGGUUUUACUUGUUAUGGAUUCUCUAUAGCCCUCCUUAGCCUUUCAUAGCAAAUUUCUAUAAUAACUACUUAGAAGAUUGGAAGUGUAUAUGAAUUAAAUCACGUCAGGUUAUAAAAUUGAACCAUAUUCUAAAGAUUUAGGGAAAGUAAUCAGUACUGAAACAUUGGAGUCACAUUCGUAGGAUGUAGACAAAAAGAUCUUCCAUGAUUUUCCUUUAGUUUGUAGUUUUAUUUGCCUAUAUGAUAUAGGAAUAGAUUUAGCUAAGGAGGUGAGAAAAUUUUGGGGUUUAGGACAGCAAGUGAUUAAUUGGGAAAUAAAUGAAUCAUACUGACUUGUAACUCAGUUCUGGAGCUAACUUGUAACUAAGUUCUGGAGAAACUUAGUUUCUCUUCAGUUAUAGGUCUAGUUGAAUUUCUGUUUUAUUUUUUAUUUUUUGGUGAUGACACAUUUUAUUUAUUUAAAAAUUAAAAAAAAAGUUUUUUUCAUGGUUA